This is an RNA transcript of Aethina tumida (small hive beetle), 1758 nucleotides long. It is a transcript of the gene named eukaryotic translation initiation factor 3 subunit E, with no coding region annotated. The record is from RefSeq and is a predicted model, not a curated record. The transcript is spliced from 5 exons. NCBI's taxonomy places the organism in Eukaryota, Metazoa, Arthropoda, Insecta, Coleoptera, Nitidulidae.
CUUAUGUAUAUUUCAAUUUUGGUUUGUUUUUGUGGGAAAUUGGGAGUUUCAGUGUGACCAAUCUAGCGGCACAAAAAGUUCUUUUUCGCUUGUGCUAAGCGUGUACGGUUCAGUGUGAAUAAUUUUAACUUCAAUAUUAGUUGGAAUAGAAGCAAUACAAUAUGGCACAGUUCGACUUGACAUCAAAACUCGGCCAAUAUUUGGAUCGUCAUCUGGUUUUUCCCCUGCUGGAAUUCUUGUCGGCUCGAGGAAUUUACGAUGAAACCGAGUUACUUAAGGCAAAACUGGAAAUUCUCAGCAAAACAAACAUGAUAGAUUAUGUGAUUGAUAUCAGGAAACAGCUUUAUCCCAAUGAGGACAUUCCUGAAGAGAUGAAAGAGAGACGAACUCAUGUCCUAGCUGAAUUAACAGCACUGAGGGCUAAAGUUGAUACUAUCACCAAAAUUAUGAAUGAUGAUGAUGUUAUGAAGCAAAUGGAGAAUAUGAGAGAUUCCAAAGCUUUAAUAGGUUAUUUGGAAACAACACAUAAUUUUGAGAUUGAGAGUGUGGACAGCUUGUUUAAACUGGCUAGGUUCAGCUACGAGUGCGGCAACUACGCCUUCUCUUCGUCGUACCUAUACUUCUGCACGCUGGUGAUGCCCACAAACGACAAGGACUACCUGAGCUCAUUGUGGGGCAAACUGGCCUCUGAGAUCCUCGUGCACGACUUCGAUUCCGCAUUGGAAGACCUCACCAAGUUGCGCGACUAUAUCGAUUCAAGUCCAAACCCAUUUGGCGGAAACAGUUUGCAGUUAUUGCAGCAGAGGACUUGGUUCAUUCACUGGUCAUUGUUUGUGUUCUUCAAUCACGUGAUGGGCAGGGAAAUGAUCAUUGAGAUGUUUUUAUACAGGCCACAGUACCUGAAUGCCAUCCAGACUAUGUGUCCACAUAUUUUAAGAUACUUGGCCACUGCAGUCAUUAUCAACAGGGGCAGAAGGUCUGCCUUGAAAGAUUUGGUAAAAGUUAUCCAGCAGGAGAGCUAUACCUACAGAGAUCCGAUUACCGAGUUCCUGGAACAUUUAUAUGUCAAUUUCGACUUCGAUGGAGCCAGGCAGAAGCUGCAUGAAUGUCAAACUGUCUUGCACAACGAUUUCUUCCUCAUCUCAUGCCUGGAUGAAUUCGUAGAAAAUGCGCGUUUGAUGAUUUUCGAAACGUUCUGUCGCAUACACCAGUGCAUCAGCAUUGGAAUGUUGGCAGAGAAACUGAACAUGAAUCCAGAUGAGGCUGAAUGCUGGAUUGUUAAUUUGAUUAGAAAUGCUCGUUUAGACGCUAAAAUUGAUUCAAAAUUAGGACAUGUAGUUAUGGGGGCACAACCUCUCUCACCAUACCAACAACUAAUUGAAAAAAUUGAUUCUUUGUCUGUCCGGUCGGAGGCACUUUGCGGAGUUAUUGAUAGAAAACUUAAAGCGAGAACAGAUAUCCGUUGGGGUAACCAAGAGUUCUAACUUUUGUAUCCUGGAUUGUAUGUUUCUUAUUCUAUUCUGUUACCUUAUUAUUUUUUUCGUUUAAAAAUUCUGGACAAACAAAUUUUUAAAUGGUUUUAUAUGGCAAUUUCAGGAUUUUUAAAUUUCUUCUCUAUUUAGUAAGUAUUAUAUAAUAGCAAAGGGUUAUAAAAAAUAAAAUUGGUUCCAAAGUUUUAUUAAUAAAAACAUUUUUUUUAACAUAAUACCAAUAUAUAUAUAAUGUAUUUACCAGUUCAAUAAAUUAACAUACAUUUUA